Molecule: long non-coding RNA, 392 nt
Filed under: Pogona vitticeps (central bearded dragon)
Lineage: Eukaryota; Metazoa; Chordata; Lepidosauria; Squamata; Agamidae
Description: lncRNA (ENSPVIG00000002138.1)
Source: RNAcentral
UAUUACAGGUUUCUGACCUUCCAUGUGUAUGCUGGCUUUAUAGAAAAUAUGGUAUGGUGUUACAUGAUAAAUUCUUAAAGCAACCAUGUAUAAUCUUAAUUUUAGAUAUGGGAGCCAAACAGAAUGUGUGGAUGGAUCGUCCCCUGACACUUAUAACCCUAAUUUACAAGGCAGCAACACAAGAUGUGAAGAACAUGUGGCUUGGAUCAAUGUUCCUGCCAAGUGGAAAAUGGUAUGUAUGUGUCAGAUGAGUGCCUGUAAACUUCCAUUUGCUUCUUGGAGAUGACUCAAAUAUUUUUGCCCAAGACAGACACAGAGAGAUAUUUUAAGUCUUAUGAGAUACUGGCCAUAAACCGAAAUAAUAAUAAAAAACGUUAAGGCCUGAAUUUAGU